AAGCUGCCUGAGGUUGGGUUAUGUGAGUCUUUUCUAUGCAAUCCAGAAAACAUUUUCACUGUGUAUUUUAUAAACAUGGUUUCUGGUUUGCAUAGAUUUGCAUGUUUAUCCCAAGGCCCCCAAAUUCCAACUGCUUUAUGUAAAAUAAGUAAGAUCAAGUGGGGCCAUUGAUGGCAAAUAUAUAUUCUAAUCAAGACCUCCUGGAGUUGUAGCCUUUUUCCAGGGGUUAGAGGAAUUCCUUCGACAGCUUCUCCUUCAAGCCCAGGGCACCAUUACUCAUUGCAGGAAGGGUCCUGGAAUGGCCACGCCUUGACCUCACAGGUCAUCACAAAGCUUUAAUAACCACAGUGGCUCCUUCCACUUACUGAAACCACGUUCUCUCUGUUGUAUGUAUUCUUAAAUUUUAUGGAUUCCAAAAAAUAGGUAUUUCUGUGACAAAAAGGCAGGUUAUGAAAGGGAACGUGAAAUACUGAAUCCUAGUCUGAAAAGCCAUACCCUCUCUUUCUGUACUCUGCUGUUGUUGGUCUUUUAACGGGUGGGGAAAAAGACCCUGAACAGUGGCAAGAAGACCUCAGGAUUCUUAAAAGGAGAUCUGCUCUGGAGUGGGCUUCUUAAUAAGUCCCCUUCAAAACGAAAUUUUCUUGAAAUUAUUUUCCUAGCAUUCUGGAAUUAUACUCUACUAGUCAAUGGUUCACCCACCAAAAGGGACUCAGUAUGCCCUAUGCUAUAUUCCAUCUGUUUCACUGCCUCCUAAAGGAAUGCCUGACAAGAAAUUAGGUAUCCUUGUGCUGCUGAUGGGUUCCUCCUUUCUGGAGAGGUGGUGAUAUCGUGAUUUUUAAAAAGCAGCUGCUCAUCUGAAUUACUACCUUCUUUCAACAAAAACAAAGUUGGUUUUCUAAUGAACUACAACCUCAUUUAUCGGAAUCAGAACUUCUGAAUCACCCCAGUGAUGUGACCCUUUAAAAACUUCAGGAGGUUUGCAAAGUAUUUCAGCUUCAAGGCUCCCAGAAAUGCCUGGACAUGAGCCAGAGAUGAAGCAGACGCUUCUGAGCACAGUUGGUUUAACGAAGGAGUGAAUGUACAACAUUCAAACUAGGACCAACUGCCGUGGGUGUUUAUUUGAGACUUCUUCCAGAAUCACACCCACAGAUCUCGCCUGCCUAAUCAGAAUGACAUAAGUCACAGGCUGUUGCUGCCUUGUUUGUGAUUGAAAUCAGAUAACACCUUGAGAGAGGACUGAGGUCACUGGCGGUCAGCACUGGAGAGCAGAUCAUAUUUUAUUGAUUAGGAACAACUGAUUUGUCAUAGGGAAGACUUAAUAAUGCCACAGAUGAUACCAAUGAGGAAGGAGCUCAUACUGUAUCUUCAGAGGGAAUGGAGCCAAGCCACUGAGAAAUCCGCCAUGUUGAAUUAGGCUAUGUCACAUCCAAGAGGUUGUGGAAAAGCCAAAACACAUUUUGCUGAACAAACACCAUCAUAAGUUAUUAUAGUGUACAGAUUUCUUUUAGGUUGUAUGGCACUUAAAAGGCUAAUGUAUGACUGGGAGCAAUGCAAA
This is a long non-coding RNA of Mustela erminea (ermine), 1555 nucleotides long. RefSeq lists it as uncharacterized. The transcript is spliced from 4 exons. The record is from RefSeq and is a predicted model, not a curated record. NCBI's taxonomy places the organism in Eukaryota, Metazoa, Chordata, Mammalia, Carnivora, Mustelidae.